RNAcentral lists this transfer RNA (77 nucleotides) under Geobacter sp. RNAcentral's name for it is "tRNA-Pro". It matches the Rfam family "tRNA". From Rfam's summary of the family: Transfer RNA (tRNA) molecules are approximately 80 nucleotides in length. The record is from RNAcentral. Lineage: Bacteria; Pseudomonadati; Thermodesulfobacteriota; Desulfuromonadia; Geobacterales; Geobacteraceae.
CGGGGAGUAGCGCAGUCUGGCAGCGCACCUGCCUUGGGAGCAGGGGGUCGAAGGUUCAAAUCCUUUCUCCCCGACCA